CAUUAACUGGCUACUUAAGGACCUCAACUAAUGAUGUAGGAGACAGAUUGACCUGGGUUUCACCUACACUGCAGAGUGGGUCAGAACCACUAUGAGAAGUUCAUCUGAGGAAUGUUUUGGGACCUAUCUCACUCACUUGUAAUGACCCCAUCCCCAUCUUUAUAUAUGUUCGAUGUAUUACUCGCAAGGCCAGAUUUUGUUGCCCAUUCCUAAUUGCUUUUGAAGUGAACACUUUCAGAAGGCAUUCAUGAGGCAACCACAUAACGAUGGAUCGGGACUCCCUGGAAACUGGUCUAGAUUCUACAAGCAUUUUAUUGAGUAAAUUCUUCUUGUUGCUGUCAUAUGACAAAAUGCUCAAUGGUGCAUGCCUUCUUGGAUUGUUGGAACCAAUCCUCAAAUUUCAAGAUUUUUACAGCAAAACAUGUUUUCCUGCUCAGAGCUGAAGCUUUCUAGUUCUUGAUAACAUAAGCAUAUUUGCAAACUUAUUCAAAUCUUUAACAUUCUUUUAAUCUUAGCGGUUGUUCUGUCUGACCCAUUUAAUGUCAUAGAAUCACAAAGUCAUACAGCUUGGAAACAGACCCCUCAGUCCAACUAGUCAAUGCCAACCAUCAUCC
Chiloscyllium plagiosum (whitespotted bambooshark) is the source of this 614-nucleotide non-coding RNA. The record is from RefSeq and is a predicted model, not a curated record. Lineage: Eukaryota; Metazoa; Chordata; Chondrichthyes; Orectolobiformes; Hemiscylliidae.